CCUACGGGAGGCAGCAGUGGGGAAUAUUGCACAAUGGGCGCAAGCCUGAUGCAGCCAUGCCGCGUGUGUGAAGAAGGCUCUAGGGUUGUAAAGCACUUUCAGUCGGGAGGAAAGGUUAUCAGUUAAUACCUGGUAGCUGUGACGUUACCGACAGAAGAAGCACCGGCUAACUCCGUGCCAGCAGCCGCGGUAAU
This 194-nucleotide ribosomal RNA is filed under the name uncultured marine bacterium. RNAcentral describes it as "partial 16S ribosomal RNA". It matches the Rfam family "Bacterial small subunit ribosomal RNA", at positions 338 to 524 of the family's 1533-position model. The record is from RNAcentral.